GACGAACGCUGGCGGCGUGCUUAACACAUGCAAGUCGAGCGGUAAGGCCCUUCGGGGUACGACGAGCGGCGAACGGGUGAGUAACACGUGGGUGACCUGCCUCUAGCUCUGGGAUAAGCCUGGGGAACCGGGUCUAAUACCGGAUAUGACUCCAUGACGCAUGUUGUGGGGUGGAAAGCCUUGUGCGGCUGAGGAUGGGCCCGCGGCCUAUCAGCUUGUUGGUGGGGUGAUGGCCUACCAAGGCGACGACGGGUAGCCGGCCUGAGAGGGCGACCGGCCACACUGGGACUGAGACACGGCCCAGACUCCUACGGGAGGCAGCAGUGGGGAAUCUUGGACAAUGGGCGCAAGCCUGAUCCAGCCAUGCCGCGUGAGUGAAGAAGGCCUUAGGGUGUAAAGCUCUUUUACCAGGGACGAUAAUGACGUACCUGGAGAAUAAGCCCGCAAACUUCGUGCCAGCAGGCCGCAGUAAC
RNAcentral lists this ribosomal RNA (473 nucleotides) under uncultured bacterium. RNAcentral describes it as "bacterial SSU rRNA". It matches the Rfam family "Bacterial small subunit ribosomal RNA", at positions 28 to 524 of the family's 1533-position model. The record is from RNAcentral.